GUGUUCCCCGCUCUCACCCUCCCCGAGCCGGGUGCUGGGCGGUCAUUGCUUUGCAUCUCCCUUGCCCACCCCCCACCAUGGCCUUUAGCGUCUCCCCCCUCCUGCUCCCACCCCGGGCUCUGAAGUCAGGAAACCCAAGAGGAAAUGACUGAGCCCGUCUGGGUUCCCGCCCGCCAGCGCUCUCCUGGCCACACCCUCUGCCUGGACGCAACUGCCGCCUCUACCCUCUCUCCAAAAAGCUGCGGGCUCUGGACCCCCAGCUCGGAGGCCGACUCCUCCGCUGGGCCGGGUGACAGCCCCAGAGGAGAGGAAGAGGCCCAGGAUCUACUCCUGUACCCCAGCCCCUACUGGGUGCCCAGCAGGGUCCGUCCAAGAGGGAUGUCACUCUCUGGUCACCUGUGUUUCCUCACCAUCGUCGGCCUGAUUCUUCCCACUAGAGGUAAGGCCCAGCCUUUGUCUCCACUCUGCCCCAGAGCCCCCAGCCCUACCUCAAGUGCACUGCUGGGUGGGCAGCUGGUGAGUUUGGCGGCCCUGUCCUGUGUCCGCAACCCCCUGCUGAGCCGGCACCAGGAAGUGGGGCUCCCAAAGAGGGGGACAGGGAUACACCCUUUUUGGACACCUCAGAACUGGGUGGCCGCUUCCAGCGAGUCUGGCCAGAGCCUGUCCUGCUGAGCAGGCUCCAUUUCACUUCCAAGAAGAACUCACUGAGUUUGAUUUGGCGGGCAGAUUGGUGUCAGUUUUCUACUCAGCAGCCAGGAAACCUGGGCUCCCAGCAGAGGAGCUUCCUGGAUUCCCAGGUGAUGCAGUUAGGCAAAGGGGUGAGCUGGGGCCAGUGGAAGAGCUGGAGGUGUCUCCCCUGGCCUGGGAAGUGCUUCCUGAAGGCAGCAGCUGUGGUGGCAUUGGCAGGUGCUUUUCCACACGGCAGGUGCUGUGUGUGCGGGAGCUCACUUCAGCUUCAGCUCUAGUGUAUUACACAUACUGCCCUGCCUGUUUUACAAUGAGGGAACUGAAGCUCAGGGAAUUGAGGUUCAGCAAAGGAAAGCCUGUGCCAGAGGCUAGUGAGGGGAGGAGCUGGGAUCCAAUCAUCCUGCCUGCCCCUGGAACCCAGAGCAGACUCGCCGCUGAAGAGCUCUCUUGGAUAAAACGGUUUUCAUCUAUUCCUUCAGUCAUUCAACAGGUAUUCGUUGAGCAGCUCCUGUGUGCCAGAUCUUAUUCUAUGCACUAUGGAAACAGCAAUACGUAAAACAGGAACUCACGUUCCAUUUGGGAAAUACAGACGAUAAAUCACCCAUCAGUAAAUUAUACAGUAUGCCAGAAGGUGAUACAUGUUAUGCAGAAAAGUAGAGGAGAGCAAUGAGGAUUGUUUGAAGAGGAUGGUCAGGGAAGACUUCACUAGGAGGUGACAUUUGGGCAGACACGUGAAGAAGAUGGAGGAACGAACCAAGCAGGUAGCCGAGGGAUGAGUGCUGUCCGGUGGGUGUGAGGAACCAGGCAGUCCAGGUGGCUGGGUGGGGUGAACAAGGAGCAGGGUAGGAAGAGGAGAGGUCAGAGAGGUGACAGGGGAAGAG
This 1568-nucleotide long non-coding RNA is filed under the name Rhinolophus ferrumequinum (greater horseshoe bat). RNAcentral's name for it is "lncRNA (ENSRFEG00010008444.1)". The record is from RNAcentral. Lineage: Eukaryota; Metazoa; Chordata; Mammalia; Chiroptera; Rhinolophidae.